RNAcentral lists this ribosomal RNA (253 nucleotides) under uncultured bacterium. RNAcentral's name for it is "partial 16S ribosomal RNA". It matches the Rfam family "Bacterial small subunit ribosomal RNA", at positions 524 to 776 of the family's 1533-position model. The record is from RNAcentral.
CACGUAGGGCGCAAGCGUUGUCCGGAAUUAUUGGGCGUAAAGAGCUCGUAGGCGGUCCGUCACGUCCGCUGUGAAAACCCAGGGCUCAACCCUGGGCUUGCAGUGGAUACGGGCAGACUAGAGGUAGGUAGGGGAGAAUGGAAUUCCCGGUGUAGCGGUGGAAUGCGCAGAUAUCAGGAGGAACACCGGUGGCGAAGGCGGGUCUCUGGGACGGUACUGACGCUGAGACGCGAAGGCGUGGGGAGCGAACAGG